This 75-nucleotide transfer RNA is filed under the name Candidatus Tayloriibacteriota bacterium. RNAcentral describes it as "tRNA-Ile". It matches the Rfam family "tRNA". From Rfam's summary of the family: Transfer RNA (tRNA) molecules are approximately 80 nucleotides in length. Their secondary structure includes four short double-helical elements and three loops (D, anti-codon, and T loops). The record is from RNAcentral. Lineage: Bacteria; Candidatus Tayloriibacteriota.
GGGUGCGUAGUUCAGUGGUAGAACGCGUUCCUGAUAAGAACGAGGCCGGAGGUUCGAUCCCUCCCGCACCCACCA